UACGUAGGGGGCAAGCGUUGUCCGGAAUCAUUGGGCGUAAAGAGCGUGUAGGCGGUCCGGUAAGUCGGCUGUGAAAGUCCAGGGCUCAACCCCGGGAGGCGGAUGGAUACUGCAAGGCUCGAGUACGGAAGAGGCGAGUGGAAUUCCCGGUGUAGCGGUGAAAUGCGCAGAUAUCGGGAGGAACACCAAUGGCGAAGGCAGCUCGCUGGGACGUUACUGACGCUGAGACGCGAAAGCGUGGGGAGCAAACAGG
RNAcentral lists this ribosomal RNA (253 nucleotides) under uncultured bacterium. Its description in RNAcentral is "partial 16S ribosomal RNA". It matches the Rfam family "Bacterial small subunit ribosomal RNA", at positions 524 to 776 of the family's 1533-position model. The record is from RNAcentral.